RNAcentral lists this ribosomal RNA (253 nucleotides) under uncultured bacterium. Its description in RNAcentral is "partial 16S ribosomal RNA". It matches the Rfam family "Bacterial small subunit ribosomal RNA", at positions 526 to 779 of the family's 1533-position model. The record is from RNAcentral.
CGUAGGUGGCAAGCGUUAUCCGGGAAUUAUUGGGCGUAAAGCGCGCGUAGGCGGUUUUUAAGUCUGAUGUGAAAGCCCACGGCUCAACCGUGGAGGGUCAUUGGAAACUGAAAACUUGAGUGCAGAAGAGGAAAGUGGAAUUCCAUGUGUAGCGGUGAAAUGCGCAGAGAUAUGGAGGAACACCAGUGGCGAAGGCGACUUUCUGGUCUGUAACUGACGCUGAUGUGCGAAAGCGUGGGGAUCAAACAGGAUU